Long non-coding RNA from Pleuronectes platessa (European plaice), 852 nucleotides. RefSeq lists it as uncharacterized. The transcript has 6 exons. The record is from RefSeq and is a predicted model, not a curated record. Lineage: Eukaryota; Metazoa; Chordata; Actinopteri; Pleuronectiformes; Pleuronectidae.
GACGUGUGGCUGUCGUAAAAACCCUAUUUGUAAACAACCAGCCCUUUAACUCGGGGCUGCGUCAUAAACACGGCGCGCUUGGAAGACCACGAUGUCAUCUUCCUUCUGUCAGGAGGAUCCAAGUGAAGCUACAGGAGUUUCAUUAACGUCAACAACUUGGACCAAACAGUUUGUUUUGCUUGAUGAAGAGCAGGAAGGGCAGCCUGGAGAGAAAGAGAAGCCGGGUUGAGCCCACUACCAUCAUCCACGUACCACGAGGAAGAUGAGGGAGAGAAAUGAUCCUACCAUUAAAGAGACUGUGAAAAGAACGUUGAGAACAUCACCACUCUACAGGAAGACACAGUCCAGUAAUGGGUGUCAGAAGUUCAGUAGUGAACGACAGAAACAAACAAUCCAAAUUACCUGCAGAAAGCCCUUGAUGGACGCUUCAGCUGCAUCGUCAGACUGGCAGUACUGAUGCAUUUACUGAGACGGGACGUGAGGGCCUACUCUGCGUGCUCAGAGUUCAAGCCCAGCAGGCUGCAGCGGGCCUGACAUAUUCUGGAACAGCAGCACAGUCUUUGGAUGACUCCUCUGAAGAUGAAAACAUGGCGAGUUCUUCUCAAGAGAAGCAGUACAGGUGUGCCUCAGCUCCACGGUCCCUCCUGCAGCCUCCGCUCCUGAUGCUAACCUCAUGUCUCCAUCACACCAAGCAGCAGACCUGGAUUGACAGACCUUUCUCCAGAGCUGCCCCCUCCCUCUGAAACCCCCCUCUCCAAAACACUAUUUGUGUAGUUUUUAAAGUAUUUUUUGCAUGAGAAUUGUUGAUCAUAACAUUUCCAGCAGAUGCCUUAAUAUAAUGUUUGUGCACAA